AGAGUUUGAUCAUGGCUCAGAACGAACGCUGGCGGCGUGGAUAAGACAUGCAAGUCGAGCGAGAUUUUUUUCUGUAGCAAUACAGGGAAAAGUCUAGCGGCGAACGGGUGCGUAACACGUGGGCACCUGCCAAGAAGUGGGGGAUAGCUCGCCGAAAGGCGAAUUAAUACCGCAUGUGAUCAGAGUGGACAUCCAUUCAAAAUCAAAGUCGGGGCAACCUGACGCUUCUUGAGGGGCCCGCGGCCUAUCAGCUAGUUGGUGAGGUAACGGCCCACCAAGGCUUUGACGGGUAGCUGGUCUGAGAGGACGACCAGCCACACUGGGACUGAGACACGGCCCAGACACCUACGGGUGGCAGCAGUCGAGAAUUUUUCUCAAUGGGGGAAACCCUGAAGGAGCGACGCCGCGUGGAGGAUGAAGGUCUUCGGAUUGUAAACUCCUGUCAUUGGGGAACAAUGCGUAAAUAUUAACUGUAUUUGCGUUGAUAGUACCCGAAGAGGAAGAGACGGCUAACUCUGUGCCAGCAGCCGCGGUAAUACAGAGGUCUCAAGCGUUGUUCGGAUUCAUUGGGCGUAAAGGGUGCGUAGGCGGCGCGGUAAGUCGGGUGUGAAAUCUCGGGGCUUAACUCCGAAACUGCAUUCGAUACUGCCGUGCUUGAGGACUGGAGAGGAGACUGGAAUUUACGGUGUAGCGGUGAAAUGCGUAGAUAUCGUAAGGAAGACCAGUGGCGAAGGCGGGUCUCUGGACAGUUCCUGACGCUGAGGCACGAAGGCCAGGGGAGCAAACGGGAUUAGAUACCCUAGUAGUCC
Molecule: ribosomal RNA, 809 nt
Filed under: uncultured bacterium
Lineage: Bacteria
Description: bacterial SSU rRNA
Rfam family: Bacterial small subunit ribosomal RNA
Source: RNAcentral